RNAcentral lists this long non-coding RNA (341 nucleotides) under Marmota monax (woodchuck). Lineage: Eukaryota; Metazoa; Chordata; Mammalia; Rodentia; Sciuridae. The record is from RNAcentral.
GUUUGAUUAUCUUCAACCAUAUAAUCAAUAGGUUUGUGUAAUGGUUUACGGUUUCUGAUGAUGGAAGGAGGGACUGGAGGGUUGGCUGAGAUGUUUAUAAGGUAGGAUGUGAGAAUAUCCAUGUAUUAUAUUAUAUGACUAGUGAGGGGAUAAUCAUAGGAAGUUGGCUGUUGGUAGGAGAAACAAGAGAGAGGCAACCCCAUGCAAGACUCCCUGUUAACCUUAGCAACAGGAUAACUGUUAGCACCCCUAGUAGAGAAACCUCUGGUGCAGCCAGGCCACAGGGACUGGUGACGUCUUACCAGGUCCUUAUUGUUGUCUCUUGAUAGAAGUGGCGAUAU